AAUAGAUACCCGGGUAGUCCACCCCGUAAACGUUGGGAACUAGUUGUGGGGUCCUUUCCACGGAUUCCGUGACGCAGCUAACGCAUUAAGUUCCCCGCCUGGGGAGUACGGCCGCAAGGCUAAAACUCAAAGGAAUUGACGGGGACCCGCACAAGCGGCGGAGCAUGCGGAUUAAUUCGAUGCAACGCGAAGAACCUUACCAAGGCUUGACAUACACCAGAACACCCUGGAAACAGGGGACUCUUUGGACACUGGUGAACAGGUAGUGCAUGGUUGUCGUCAGCUCGUGUCGUGAGAUGUUGGGUUAAGUCCCGCAACGAGCGCAACCCUCGUUCUAUGUUGCCAGCACGUAAUGGUGGGAACUCAUGGGAUACUGCCGGGGUCAACUCGGAGGAAGGUGGGGAUGACGUCAAAUCAUCAUGCCCCUUAUGUCUUGGGCUUCACGCAUGCUACAAUGGCCGGUACAAUGGGCUGCGAUACCGUAAGGUGGAGCGAAUCCCAAAAAGCCGGUCCAGUUCGGAUUGAGGUCUGCAACGUCGACCGUCA
RNAcentral lists this ribosomal RNA (546 nucleotides) under uncultured bacterium. Its description in RNAcentral is "bacterial SSU rRNA". It matches the Rfam family "Bacterial small subunit ribosomal RNA", at positions 777 to 1320 of the family's 1533-position model. The record is from RNAcentral.